GAAGCGGUGGCUAACCCGCAAGGGAGGCAUCCGUCGAAGGUCAAUCCAAUGACUGGGGCG
Molecule: ribosomal RNA, 60 nt
Filed under: uncultured bacterium
Lineage: Bacteria
Description: partial 16S ribosomal RNA
Source: RNAcentral